UGGGGAAUUUUUGGACAAUGGGGGCAACCCUGAUCCAGCCAUGCCGCGUGUGUGAAGAAGGCCUUCGGUUGUAAGCACUUUCGGCCGGACGAAAUCGCGCGGGCUAACACUCCGCGUGGAUGACGGUACCGGAAGAAGAAGCACCGGCUAACUACGUGCCAGCAGCCGCGGUAAUACGUAGGGUGCGAGCGUUAAUCGGAAUUACUGGGCGUAAAGUGUGCGCAGGUGGCCGCGCAAGUCGAGUGUGAAAGCCCCGGGCUUAACUUGGGAAUUGCGCUCGAAACUACGUGGCUAGAGUGUGGCAGAGGAAGGUGGAAUUCCACGUGUAGCGGUGAAAUGCGUAGAGAUGUGGAGGAACACCGAUGGCGAAGGCAGCCUUCUGGGCCAACACUGACGCUCAUGCACGAAAGCGUGGGGAGCAAACAGGAUUAGAUACCCUGGUAGUCCACGCCCUAAACGAUGAUGACUAGUUGUUGGGGGAGUUAAAUCCCUUAGUAACGCAG
RNAcentral lists this ribosomal RNA (503 nucleotides) under uncultured Pseudomonadota bacterium. RNAcentral describes it as "bacterial SSU rRNA". It matches the Rfam family "Bacterial small subunit ribosomal RNA", at positions 355 to 851 of the family's 1533-position model. The record is from RNAcentral. Lineage: Bacteria; Pseudomonadati; Pseudomonadota.